This is a long non-coding RNA of Pipistrellus kuhlii (Kuhl's pipistrelle), 306 nucleotides long. RefSeq lists it as uncharacterized. The transcript is spliced from 2 exons. Lineage: Eukaryota; Metazoa; Chordata; Mammalia; Chiroptera; Vespertilionidae. The record is from RefSeq and is a predicted model, not a curated record.
AGCUGUUAUACAGCUGGUAUAAGCAACAUUUGAUUUCUGAAGUGUACAAACCAUCUUUUCAUAUUUUCAAGAUGUAAUUUUACAUUUCUGCAUUUAAAAUCAGUUUGACCAUAAUCUAAACACACGUUUUUAAUCUAUAUACAUGCAUAUGUGACCUUUGUGAACAGAAAUUUGGAUGUAUUAUUUGUGUUUACUUGUAACUUUCUGGUUAUAUACUGCUUAUAUCUGUGGAUUCAAGUUUCUGAUGUGAAAUACCAAUAAAAACUUAGGUCAUGUUCAUUGGUUAUACAUGUUUGAAAUGUUAAC